RNAcentral lists this ribosomal RNA (453 nucleotides) under Rammeola anatolica. RNAcentral describes it as "partial 16S ribosomal RNA". It matches the Rfam family "Bacterial large subunit ribosomal RNA", at positions 1803 to 2529 of the family's 2925-position model. Lineage: Eukaryota; Metazoa; Arthropoda; Insecta; Orthoptera; Tettigoniidae. The record is from RNAcentral.
UUUAACAAAAACAUGUCCUCUUGAGUAAAUUUUGAGGUCGGACCUGCCCACUGACAUAGUUGAAGGGCCGCGGUAUUUUGACCGUGCAAAGGUAGCAUAAUCAUUAGUCUUUUAAUUGAGGGCUGGAAUGAAUGGUUUGACGAAAUAUUAACUGUCUCUUUAUAAUAAGUGGAAUUUAACUUCUGAGUCAAAAGGCUUAGAUGAAUAUAAAAGACGAGAAGACCCUAUAGAUCUUUAUAUGAUUAAUGUGGUUACUUAUUUGGUUGUAUUGAUUAUAACCAUAGUAUUAUAUUUUGUUGGGGUGACAUGAAGAUAUAAAUAACUCUUUAUAAUGGAAACAUUGAUUUAUGAUUAAAUGAUCCGCUAUUAGUGAUUAUAAGAUAAAGUUACCUUAGGGAUAACAGCGUAAUUUUUUUUGAGAGUUCUUAUCGACAAGAAAGAUUGCGACCUCGA